Dermochelys coriacea (leatherback sea turtle) is the source of this 1619-nucleotide long non-coding RNA. RefSeq lists it as uncharacterized. Lineage: Eukaryota; Metazoa; Chordata; Testudines; Dermochelyidae. The transcript has 4 exons. The record is from RefSeq and is a predicted model, not a curated record.
AGGGAUUCUCUGGGUUUUGAAUCUGAUUAUCCUGUAAGGUAUUUACCAUCCUGAUUUUACAGAGUUUGGCGCAAUGAGCAGGGUGUGAUCGGGAAUCCUCAGAGAGUUUCUCACAACCAGGAAUAGAAGUUUCCCUCUGUUUGGGCAGAGAACAAGCUGUCUUGCAGUUUGGUGCCUGCUCAUCUCUCCCCAACCAUCCAGGUUACCAGUCAACUCCCUCCACCUACCAAGCAAUACCCUCUCAAACCGGAGGCCAUGGACAUGGUAACAAAUGUGGCUCCUCACAUUAAUCCUCUUGGUAAAUAUACCUGAUGCAGCCUCCUGGGACCCGCCUUUGGUAAAUGUCACAUGAUACACUUGCUUCAAGCUGGCCAGUAUGUGCAACUCCCUACAGGAGGCAGCGAUGAAUGCGUAAAGAAACCAGACACUUGGCUUACUCCCAGACCAAAUUACCUGGGACCUAUCAUGGUUACAGUUCACCUCCAAAAACAUCCAGGCUCCAAGGUCCCAAUCUGACUACCACAGCCCGGGAGCAAUCUUUGGUUCCCUCCCUACAUCUUACCAGAUCUGGACAGUAACUGGGUAUUUAGCUUCAGGGGAUGUGGGCACACACACAUAUAGGACCCCCAGUUUCGGGAUGCAAGAUCACAGAUGGUUGGGAAAAGGACCAAAGGACAGGUCAAUUUAAGGAUACCCCCUUAGAACAAACGAACUAUUCUAUUUCCAGGGCCUCAGAUGGAUCAGCUGAGAUUCAUAACAUUUAUGAGGCCGCUAAUGGAUUGGGAGAGUAUAGGUGUGAACGUAUGUGGGAGAAUUGGGCAGUUUUCAUUAACCCAACAGUGUUUGUAGAUGCAGGAUGGAUGGAUGUUCCUCUCUGCUGUGGGAACCUGGGAUGGAGGGACAUUAUUAUCAGGAACACUGUGUAUACUCAGUUAAAUGUUUAUAUUGUACUGAUAUACGAUGUUAUAACCUGACCAGUUGUGGAUACUCCCUGCCUGCUAUCUGUCCGGCACUGUACCCUACCCCACUGGACGGCAUUAUUCAAGUAGGCCCCAACAAAACACUUUUGCAUGAUACCUUUAUGGUUAAACCUUUCAGGUUAAAUAUGAUUUGUCCAAUUUUUUGGCACCAUUGUGAAAUGUAUGCUCAGACCAUCCCAGCUCCAUGCAAUGGCUGCAGGACCAGCUACAGUUUCUAAUGCACCAGUAUGUUAUUCAGGCCCGCACAGCCAAAAGACAAAAACGUGGCAUCUUAAGUGGUAUAGGAGGAUUCUUUGGAAGCACCAGUUCUAUACUAAAUAUGCUUAACCUAAACUCUGAAAGGUCAUACAAUUCUUGGGUCAAAUGCCAAACCACCCAAGCCCUUAGACAUACUAACACAAGUUUAUCCUAUGCUCUGACUGCAAUUGAUGUAGCAAUAGAGGAUUUUUACCAAAUCAUUGAAGAGACCUCAGACGCUAUAGUCAACCUGGCCAAGUCACAAGCUAAGGCCAUGCUUGUGAUAUAUUAACUUGUGAUCUAUUUAAUAUUGCAAAAGAUGACAUGCUAGAUGUAUGCCUAGGUUUCCCCCCUUCCCAUACCCUUUCUUCCCCUACCCUUUUCUGCACUGCAAAGGUUUCC